This 169-nucleotide ribosomal RNA is filed under the name uncultured marine bacterium. RNAcentral describes it as "partial 16S ribosomal RNA". It matches the Rfam family "Bacterial small subunit ribosomal RNA", at positions 338 to 524 of the family's 1533-position model. RNAcentral also lists the same sequence under 3 other names. The record is from RNAcentral.
CCUACGGGAGGCAGCAGUGGGGAAUAUUGCACAAUGGACGAAAGUCUGAUGCAGCAACGCCGCGUGGAGGAUGACACAUUUCGGUGCGUAAACUCCUUUUAUAUAGGAAGAUAAUGACGGUACUAUAUGAAUAAGCACCGGCUAACUCCGUGCCAGCAGCCGCGGUAAU